This is a long non-coding RNA of Setaria italica (foxtail millet), 1642 nucleotides long. RefSeq lists it as uncharacterized. The transcript has 2 exons. The record is from RefSeq and is a predicted model, not a curated record. NCBI's taxonomy places the organism in Eukaryota, Viridiplantae, Streptophyta, Magnoliopsida, Poales, Poaceae.
UUAGACUCCAUCUGUGUAAUUAGUUUUAUAAUUAGACUAUAUUUAAUACUCCUAAUUAGUAUCAAACAUCCGAUGUGAUAGGUGCUAAAGUUUAGCACAUGAGAACUAAACACCCCCUAUAUAUAUGUCGAGAUCCGGAUGCAUGUUAAUCAAGAGGGUAUUUGGACACAGGUUGCUGACAGUUCUACAUUCAACACAUCCUAAUUUGGUAUAGUGUCAGGUCAAUGCACUGAGCAUUAUUGAAUAAUUAAAGUGCACAAUAAUGUCUGGAGUUAUUCAAACACUAGUAGUAACUACACGAAACAGGGAAAUAAAGCAGCUACUAAACUGUGAUCCACAUUACGAUACAAACCAUUAUAAAAGUUUCAAAUUCCUCAGUCUUAGUGUAUUAAAUUUCAUACCACAUCAGCAAUUUUGCUAACUUGACAAGAUAUUUAUGAAGAGGGAGAAUGAAGAGUUUUAUCAUAUGAGAGUUUUAUCCUAUGAAACUCAACCAUCACGGUUAACUAACAGUGCAAUGAAAUUGUGCACCGACACCACGGAAAAAUUAGUUGCGCCUUUCAGACGACUCACCCAACCUUUUGUUGCCCUCAGCGCCAUUUACGUCGCUUCCGUUAGUGCAACUUGCCGUUGGAACUCAGAUUUUUAUGAAAAUGGCCAAAGUACCCCUGCUACAAGCGGGCCCACUUGGAAGGCUCGAAUUUUCAACAAAAACCAACCGGCCUCCGUUCCGCUCCUCUUGGCCGCAGGCCCGCCGCCGCUCCCCUCCCCUUUCCCACCUCCCGGCCUCCGCUCCUCUCCCGUCCAGGCCAGCGCUCGCCGCUUCUGUCCCGAUCGCCGCCCGCUGCUCCGCUCCUCUCUCCUCUCGGCCUCUGCUGCCUCGCUCCACUCCCGUUCGUGGUGGAGACCGCGCUGGACGAGGCCGCCUGAGCGCGCACCGGCUUGGCUUGGCUGCGCCGCCAUUCUCUUGGGCGUCCCUGAACGGGAGCUUGAAAGGAGCAAGUGCCACGGCUUUCGAGCCUCGGCGCGCCUCCGCUUGCCCGUAAUCCCGACGUCAUGAUGGUGCAGGGGCCGUCCCCUGGGCGCCAUCGAGACCGCCGAUGACGACAAGGAGGAGGCCUCCGCAAUGCUGCGACUACAAGCAGCAGUCCCUGCUGGCGUCUCCCUGCCUGCAAGAGCACCCGUCCAACAACGGCCAUGGCGAGUGCCGCAGUUUAUUUUUGAAAGAAAGGAGCCGCAGGUUUCAGUGGCGGGCAGGAGAGAUAAGAUUGAACGGUGAAAUCAGGAGAGAUAGGAUUGAAUGGUGGUGGGUCCCAUCUUAUUUUGGAUUUCUUUUGAAGAGAGGGAGUGGCUGGUUGAGGUCAGGGGUAAAAUGGACGUUUCCCUCGCUGUUACAGCAGUGGUACUGAGGUCCAAAAAAGUUCACUGGAUGGCAUGAGAGACGUCACAAGUUUUCUGGUGGCAGAUACGGAACUGGAAUCUUUUAUUUUUUUGAAGGCUUGUUGUUGCGGACAGCAUAACUCAGAGUUCAUGCUGAGAGAAGAUAGAAGAAGAAUGCAUGCAAGAAGUGACGUACACAAGAAGUUUGAGCAGACUCCUUUGACAACCUCUCCCGCCUCGUUUGUGUAAACAAGCCUCUUGA